UCUGGCGGCUGUAGCGCGGUGGUCCCACCUGACCCCAUGCCGAACUCAGAAGUGAAACGCCGUAGCGCCGAUGAUAGUGUGGGGUCUCCCCAUGCGAGAGUAGGGAACUGCCAGAC
Molecule: ribosomal RNA, 116 nt
Filed under: Citrobacter freundii
Lineage: Bacteria; Pseudomonadati; Pseudomonadota; Gammaproteobacteria; Enterobacterales; Enterobacteriaceae
Also listed under: 8 other names
Source: RNAcentral